Molecule: transfer RNA, 67 nt
Filed under: Phyllostomus discolor (pale spear-nosed bat)
Lineage: Eukaryota; Metazoa; Chordata; Mammalia; Chiroptera; Phyllostomidae
Rfam family: tRNA
About the family: Transfer RNA (tRNA) molecules are approximately 80 nucleotides in length. Their secondary structure includes four short double-helical elements and three loops (D, anti-codon, and T loops).
Source: Rfam by way of RNAcentral
GGUAAUAUGGCCGAGAUAGGCAUUAGACUGUAAAUCUAAAGACAGAGGGUAAUUCUUCUUAUUACCA